Molecule: long non-coding RNA, 511 nt
Organism: Panthera uncia (snow leopard)
Lineage: Eukaryota; Metazoa; Chordata; Mammalia; Carnivora; Felidae
Exons: 3
Source: RefSeq, a predicted model, not a curated record
UCGCCUGUAGAAACCCGCGGCCCCGCAGGCGCCCGGGGGCGCUGGUUGGCUGGGGUCUGCGUGUGGCGGGUUGGGCGCUUGAGUGCUGGGGAACACUCGGAAGUCGUUUUAGCCCCCUUCUGUAUUUUCUUUUAUUAUUGAAUCCUAAAACAGCCCGAAGAAGGAGGGGGGGGGGCGGUAAGGAUUAGGGAUGCUUGCCUCCCAUUCAGAGAUAAGGAAACUGAGGUUCAGAAAGGCUGCCAGACACCAUGAAUCUAUGAGAGCGUCACUUGUUGUCUCUUGCCUCCUUUUCUCUCCCAGCAAAUAUAAUCUGGGGGCACCUGGGCCCCACCAGACCGGCCUCUCUGAUCACACUCAAGGAUUAACAAUCAGCAAACCACUGUCCAAAGUUCUCAUCCAUCUGUCUCUCCAGGGACAGCCAAGCCUGUGGUUGUCGCAACAGGAAAGGAGCCACAUCAGUGGAUGUGUGUGUGGCUCUGUUCCAAUAAAACUUUAUUGAUGGACGCUGCCA